UCCUAAACUGUUGGGACCUCAACUCCCAAAAUCAACCUCAACCUUUCUUUUGUGGUCAUAAAACUUGUGUUUAAAUUUCACUGAUUUCUAUUUACUUAUACUAAAGUUAUUGUGGGAAAACAAAGAAUAAUGCUUAUUUGGGCCCUUUUUUGGCCCCUAAUUCCUAAACUGUUGGAACCAAAACUCCCAAAAUCAAUCCCAACCUUCCUUUUGUGGUCAUAAACCUUGUGUCAAAAUUUCAUAGAUUUCUAUUCACUUAAACUAAAGUUUUAGUGCGAAAACCAAGAAAAUGCUUAUUUGGGCCCUUUUUGGCCCCUAAUUCCUAAAAUGUUGGGACCAAAACUCCCAAAAUCAAUCCCAACCUUCUUUUUGUGGUCAUAAACCUUGUGUCAAAAUUUCAUCGAUUUCUAUUCACUUUUACUAAAGUUAGAGUGCGAAAACUAAAAGUAUUCGGACGACGACGACGCAGACGACAACGCCAACGUGAUAGCAAUAUACGACGAAAAAUUAAAAUUUUUGCGGUCGUAUAAAAAAUAG
This 537-nucleotide long non-coding RNA is filed under the name Mytilus galloprovincialis (Mediterranean mussel). The record is from RNAcentral. Lineage: Eukaryota; Metazoa; Mollusca; Bivalvia; Mytilida; Mytilidae.